AUUUGGGGGUGGGUGGGAGAUGAGGUCAUAAAAGGGUAAGUACACAGCUAUCUAGUAAGAAGGGUCCAGGGAUGAAGGUGUAUGUAGAGGAGGGGAGGAAUACGCUUCUUGAGGUGAUCAAAGAAUCAGGAAUGAAGAGAGAGAAAAGAACAAAUCAGGGCCAUGAAUCCCCUUCUGUCUGUUUCUGGCCCUGAGUCAACUUCACCAGUUCACAGGAAAGGAACAUGUAAUCUGCCUCACUCAGCUCUGCAUGUUGUGAUCAAAGCUCGAAGGAUAUGUGCAGACUUGUAGCAGCCAACAUCGCUCUCUUUCUGUUCAAGCAGAUAAAAAGAACUCUCUAGCUCAACCUGACAUCCUGGUGAGCUAUCAGAGGAUUGGAGAAACAAGAGCCCUGCCCUUGGAUAAGGUCCUGACCAGGCAGUGGCAGUGAGCCUAGGAGGAAAAAUCUCACCUUGCUUUUCAAGCAUAAAGCUGACAGUUCUACUAGAGGCACACAGGAAGUCACUCUGGCUUCACUGCCGAGAUCCUCUGUACCCAGAAGCAUCUGUUCCCUUUGUGGUUGGGAGGGGACACCAGCCAAGAGAAGAUACUGGGUCAGUCUAGGACUAUAUACUCUGGGGCUAGUCACCAAAUAUUGCAAGAGACAUAUUAAAAACUAUUAGUUAUUCAAAAUACAAAUUUAACUGGGUGCUUUGUAUUUUUUUUGCUCAAUCUCACAACUCUACUUGGUGGCCC
RNAcentral lists this long non-coding RNA (735 nucleotides) under Equus caballus (horse). Its description in RNAcentral is "lncRNA (ENSECAG00000046601.1)". The record is from RNAcentral. Lineage: Eukaryota; Metazoa; Chordata; Mammalia; Perissodactyla; Equidae.